Molecule: ribosomal RNA, 484 nt
Filed under: uncultured bacterium
Lineage: Bacteria
Description: partial 16S ribosomal RNA
Rfam family: Bacterial small subunit ribosomal RNA
Source: RNAcentral
AUUGAACGCUGGCGGCAGGCCUAACACAUGCAAGUCGAGCGGAUGAAGGGAGCUGGCUCCUGGAUUCAGCGGCGGACGGGUGAGUAAUGCCUAGGAAUCUGCCUGGUAGUGGGGGAUAACGUCCGGAAACGGGCGCUAAUACCGCAUACGUCCUGAGGGAGAAAGUGGGGGAUCUUCGGACCUCACGCUAUCAGAUGAGCCUAGGUCGGAUUAGCUAGUUGGUGGGGUAAAGGCCUACCAAGGCGACGAUCCGUAACUGGUCUGAGAGGAUGAUCAGUCAUACUGGAACUGAGACACGGUCCAGACUCCUACGGGAGGCAGCAGUGGGGAAUAUUGGACAAUGGGCGAAAGCCUGAUCCAGCCAUGCCGCGUGUGUGAAGAAGGUCUUCGGAUUGUAAAGCACUUUAAGUUGGGAGGAAGGGCAGUAAGUUAAUACCUUGCUGUUUUGACGUUACCAACAGAAUAAGCACCGGCUAACUUCGUG